AAACGAUUUUGUGGUUUUGGCUAAAACGUGAUUUUGGCAAACAAACAUGAUUUUGUGUUUUUGACGAGAAAACCUAAUUUUUCAGUUUUGAUUAGAAAACAUAAUUUUCCAGUUUUGAUUAGAAAACAUAUUUUUUCAGUUUGACAGAAAACGUUGUUUUGCGGUUUAACGUAAAAACUUGAAUUGUGGUUUUGAUGGAAAAACCAAUUUGUGAGUGGACUAAGUAAAUCAUAAGUAUAAAAAGACAAAUGAAACGUUACGAUCUCUAACGAUCAAUGACUGGACGCUGUUCUACUUGUUUUCACAUUAUGAACUUACAAAGUGUCUUAUAAUCAAUCCGGUAAUAUACAAUCAAAGUGUCUUGUUUAGUGGGAAAAUUUGAUUUAGCGGAUUGACGAGAAAACCUAAUUUUGCAUCUUUGGUGAUUUUGGUGAGAAAAACAUUUGUGAUUAGUGAGAGAUUUUGUAAUUUAAUUAAAUAUUUCUCAGAUUUUAAUAUUGUAGGUUGAGUUGGUCACUAACUCACUAUAGUUAAGAGGAAAUCAAACUUGUGUUAAUUGUGGAAAAUGUUCUAAGAUGUAAUUAGUAAGUGUAAAAGUGAUCUAGUGUGUAAAUCUU
RNAcentral lists this long non-coding RNA (617 nucleotides) under Brassica napus (rape). RNAcentral's name for it is "long non-coding RNA (BNAP_LNC003371)". The record is from RNAcentral. Lineage: Eukaryota; Viridiplantae; Streptophyta; Magnoliopsida; Brassicales; Brassicaceae.